This is an RNA transcript of Galleria mellonella (greater wax moth), 2331 nucleotides long. RefSeq lists it as uncharacterized. The record is from RefSeq and is a predicted model, not a curated record. The transcript is spliced from 7 exons. NCBI's taxonomy places the organism in Eukaryota, Metazoa, Arthropoda, Insecta, Lepidoptera, Pyralidae.
AGGUAUAUAUUAUUAUCAUUGUAUCUACAUUUAUUCUAUAUUUGUAACAAUGAAUAAAAUGUUAUAAGGAAAAUUGAGGCGUUAGGCGACGGUCGUAUUACAAUUUUGAUUGUAUAUUUAAUUGGUUCAGUCCAUAAUUAUGUAUCUUGUGAAUUUAUUAUUUAUAUUGAUGGUUGAAAAAGUGUAUACUUAUAAAGAAUAUGCCCCACCGCAACCUGAAACGGGAUUCAUAUUACAAAAAGAAGGAAAUAAUUAUAUACAUCAAUGUAAUGUGGCAAUUAACUUAGAAUGGUGGCACUAUACGCAAUGUGGGCAUACAAUUGUUAUGGGUUAUAUUAUAAUACCAUUAUAAUACCAUAUCUCAACUACCAGACCAACGUACGACUAGUAGUCAAAAUGGACAUAGAGGCAUUUGAUAAUAAUACAAGCCUGAGAUGUGGAAGGAUUAUAUGGGAUGGCUUUGUAACAACGAAUAUUCAAGAAACUACAGUAUUACGAGUGAAAUCUACAAAUCUGACUGAGGCAGAAUACAGUACAAACACACAAAUUCCAUUGUGUAUUAUAGGCUUGGUGAAACAUUAAAUAUAUCGUGUAAUGGAAAAUACUUAUAUCAUGUAAAUGCGAACAACAGCAUUACAAAUGUCACAAAAAUAAAUUCAUCCCAUUAUUAUGUCAUUAACAAUAAUAUAAUAUCAAGAGAUGAUAAUAAAUCGAUGUUAUAUUGUAUUGAUUUUACAUGUAUGCCUAGAUAUUACGAUAUUUCAACUUUCGAUUAUAUAAAUGAAUGCAAUAGAAAAAUAUUAAAAAAAUAUAGUUUAAUAGUCAUACAUGAUCUCAAUAAGGGGACAAAAGAAAGAACAAGUGUCAUAAUUAUUACCUCGACGUGUACGGUGGGGGUAUUUCUGUUCUCUGUUGUGAUGUUACUAGUUUAUUGGAAGUACAUGUGCAGGCGAAAGAAAGUUACAGAAAACCAUGUACUAACAUAUGAUUCAACUCCUCAGUACGAGACCAUCACUCACCAAAUAAGAAAAGAGAAUUUAAAAGACGACGUCUCCAUGUAUAUGUCUUCACUAGUUCACUAUGCAGAAUUGAAUUUGCAAGAACAAACAAAUACAGUGAUAGGUAAUAUUAGAGAGGAUUCGCCUUACUAUAGUGAAGUAAUUGUAAAACGAGUAAGCUGAGGAAAUGAAAGUAAGUAUAUUGUGCAGUGGCGGGCUAAAAGGUGAGAGAAGGGAUGACCGGCGCAAGCCUUUGAUUCUGAAAGGCCUCCAAAUGUCACCAUUUACCUUAUACAUAUCCAUAUUAUACGUAUGUUUAUUUAAGCCAAAUUUAAGUUUCAUUUGCAAGAUUUGAACUAAAUAAAUAAAAAAAAUAAACACUUAUAUAUACAAAUAUGAAUUGAGUAAAUAGCUUGUAACAUUACAUAAUUUCUUAAACUAGAAGCUUCAUUCAGCUUUACCGCCCGGACCUCUGACAGACUUAGACCACCACUGAUAUUGUGAAAUCAAAGUCAUUAGAUGAUUAAUUGUACAUAAACUAUGAAAAACUAAAUUUUCCUUUAACUAUUGGAGUGUUUCGUCACUUUUUUUAUGCAUCUUAGCAAACAAAUUAACGGCUCACCUGAUGGAAAAUGGUAACCGUCACCUAUAGACAUGAACAAUACUAUUGACAUUGCACAGUAUACUGUGUCGCCCAUAAUACCCUUUAUGCCUAGCCAUUUCUGGUACCUAAGAUUAUAUGCCUUCAAACCAAAACACAGUCGUGUAAACACGACUGCAUUACGGCAAAAACAUGAAAAAGACAAAGGUAUCCCAACAAACAAUUUAUAUACAAAGUUAAAUUAUGAAAAAAAAGAAAUAUUUGUAUAAAAGAAAAAACAGAUCGGUUCAAUAGCUUAAAUAGAUUUAUGAGACGCUGUACGUAAGAAUCUAACCACGUUAUAGAAUAUUAACGUUUACGCUGUUACGUAUUGUUCUGGUCAUGCGGACGAUUGACCGAAAUAAAAAAUUACCUAUAUCCUAUAGGUAAUUCUCCAUUCCAUACAGUCUGUGUAAACCAAAUUUUAUGAUGAUCGAGUUAAAGCCGUUAAAGCGCUAUAAGAUAACAAAAAAACUUACUUCACAUUUAUAAUAUUAGUAAGUAAGUAAGGGUUGGUUGCAAUCGAAUUAAUAUUUUUUUUUCAUGAAAUAAUGUUUAAUAUUGUAAUGUAAUAACUAACGAAUUAACUUACGUGUAAUUUACUUACGAAACUUUUAACAAUAAGACAUGUUUAAUGACAUUUGUAAUAGACAUACUAAUGGAUUCCAAAUACAUUAUAUAUUAAUACAAUAC